RNAcentral lists this non-coding RNA (22 nucleotides) under Arabidopsis thaliana (thale cress). Lineage: Eukaryota; Viridiplantae; Streptophyta; Magnoliopsida; Brassicales; Brassicaceae. The record is from RNAcentral.
AGGGUGAAAAGUUGAGAUUCCA